Molecule: ribosomal RNA, 1003 nt
Filed under: Actinotalea fermentans
Lineage: Bacteria; Bacillati; Actinomycetota; Actinomycetes; Micrococcales; Cellulomonadaceae
Description: bacterial SSU rRNA
Rfam family: Bacterial small subunit ribosomal RNA
Source: RNAcentral
GCUUGCUCUUUCUGAUCAGUGGCGAACGGGUGAGUAACACGUGAGCAACCUGCCCCUGACUCUGGGAUAACCCCGAGAAAUCGGAGCUAAUACCGGAUACGAGACGCACAGGCAUCUGUAGCGUCUGGAAAGAUUUAUCGGUCAGGGAUGGGCUCGCGGCCUAUCAGCUAGUUGGUGAGGUAGUGGCUCACCAAGGCGACGACGGGUAGCCGGCCUGAGAGGGCGACCGGCCACACUGGGACUGAGACACGGCCCAGACUCCUACGGGAGGCAGCAGUGGGGAAUAUUGCACAAUGGGCGCAAGCCUGAUGCAGCGACGCCGCGUGGGGGAUGAAGGCCUUCGGGUUGUAAACCCCUUUCAGCAGGGAAGAAGCGAAAGUGACGGUACCUGCAGAAGAAGCGCCGGCUAACUACGUGCCAGCAGCCGCGGUAAUACGUAGGGCGCAAGCGUUGUCCGGAAUUAUUGGGCGUAAAGAGCUCGUAGGUGGUUUGUCGCGUCUGCUGUGAAAACCCGAGGCUCAACCUCGGGCUUGCAGUGGGUACGGGCAGACUAGAGUGCGGUAGGGGAGACUGGAAUUCCUGGUGUAGCGGUGGAAUGCGCAGAUAUCAGGAGGAACACCGAUGGCGAAGGCAGGUCUCUGGGCCGCAACUGACACUGAGGAGCGAAAGCAUGGGGAGCGAACAGGAUUAGAUACCCUGGUAGUCCAUGCCGUAAACGUUGGGCACUAGGUGUGGGGCUCAUUCCACGAGUUCCGUGCCGCAGCUAACGCAUUAAGUGCCCCGCCUGGGGAGUACGGCCGCAAGGCUAAAACUCAAAGGAAUUGACGGGGGCCCGCACAAGCGGCGGAGCAUGCGGAUUAAUUCGAUGCAACGCGAAGAACCUUACCAAGGCUUGACAUAUACCGAAAACUCGUGGAGACACGGGGUCCGCAAGGGCGGUAUACAGGUGGGUGCAUGGUUGUCGUCAGCUCGUGUCGGGAGAUGUUGGGUUAAGUCCCGCAAC